This is a long non-coding RNA of Oncorhynchus tshawytscha (Chinook salmon), 1306 nucleotides long. RefSeq lists it as uncharacterized. The record is from RefSeq and is a predicted model, not a curated record. The transcript is spliced from 4 exons. NCBI's taxonomy places the organism in Eukaryota, Metazoa, Chordata, Actinopteri, Salmoniformes, Salmonidae.
AAUGUUGUCAGCACCGUACUCCACGUGGGAAUCAAACCCAUAACCCUAAUGUUGUCAGCACCGUACUCCACGUGGGAAUCAAACCCAUAACCCUAAUGUUGUCAGCACCGUACUCCACGUGGGAAUCAAACCCAUAACCCUAAUGUUGUCAGCACCGUACUCCACGUGGGAAUCAAACCCAUAACCCUAAUGUUGUCAGCACCGUACUCCACGUGGGAAUCAAACCCAUAACCCUAAUGUUGUCAGCACCGUACUCCACGUGGGAAUCAAACCCAUAACCCUAAUGUUGUCAGCACCGUACUCCACGUGGGAAUCAAACCCAUAACCCUAAUGUUGUCAGCACCGUACUCCACGUGGGAAUCAAACCCAUAACCCUAAUGUUGUCAGCACCGUACUCCACGUGGGAAUCAAACCCAUAACCCUAAUGUUGUCAGCACCGUACUCCACGUGGGAAUCAAACCCAUAACCCUAAUGUUGUCAGCACCGUACUCCACGUGGGAAUCAAACCCAUAACCCUAAUGUUGUCAGCACCGUACUCCACGUGGGAAUCAAACCCAUAACCCUAAUGUUGUCAGCACCGUGCUCCAACCAACUGAGCCACCUCAGAACUGUCACACCGUGAGCAUGAUGAAGAUAUCACAGUGAGUCUUUUUUCUAACAGCUCUCCUGCAGCUCUCCUGUACCCCGACCUCUUGUCGCUACGGAAACAGUGCGCUGCCCUCACAAUGCUCACUCGCUCUGGGGAGAGACGCAGAGGAGAGGAGACGAAGGAGGAGGGAAGCUCCGAGCUGGACAGAGGGAUGAAGAGGGACUGGCAUGCAAGAGAUCCCAGGACAGUCAGCAGCAGCCCCUCCAUCUGAAGCAUCAGGUAUGGCAAGGUCACCUUCUACUCUCUGCUGCCCCUGGAGGCAUACUACAGUACUGCAGCUUACAUGCUCUCCAAACUGCUAGAGCUGGUGUCUGCUAAGGAGCAGGCUGUACAUCAGGUUGAAUCCUACAGCCCCAUUACCAUCAUCCCUGGACCAUUCAGCACCGUGCACGCCUGAGGAACACAGAGGAUGUCCACACACACACACACACACACACACACACACACAGGGGAUGUGUGCGGCCGUACUUUUAAAACUAAUAAUGUUCAUUCAUGUCCCAAAUUUCAUUCCUGUGAGGUCAUCACCUCAAACGGUUUUGUAGCACCACACGAGGACCUCUUGAGUUUUGUAACAUUUUUUGUAAAACAUUUAGUGAAGCCUUUUUAUAACAAGUGAAACUGAGUUAUUAUUGAAAGGUAGUUGUUAAUAUUUUAAUU